GAUGAACGCUGGCGGCGUGCCUAAUACAUGCAAGUCGAGCGAACAGAUAAGGAGCUUGCUCCUUUGACGUUAGCGGCGGACGGGUGAGUAACACGUGGGUAACCUACCUAUAAGACUGGGAUAACUUCGGGAAACCGGAGCUAAUACCGGAUAACAUUUGGAACCGCAUGGUUCUAAAGUGAAAGAUGGUUUUGUUAUCACUUAUAGAUGGACCCGCGCCGUAUUAGCUAGUUGGUAAGGUAACGGCUUACCAAGGCGACGAUACGUAGCCGACCUGAGAGGGUGAUCGGCCACACUGGAACUGAGACACGGUCCAGACUCCUACGGGAGGCAGCAGUAGGGAAUCUUCCGCAAUAGGCGAAAGCCUGACGGAGCAACGCCGCGUGAGUGAUGAAGGGUUUCGGCUCGUAAAACUCUGUUAUUAGGGAAGAACAAAUGUGUAAGUAACUGUGCACGUCUUGACGGUACCUAAUCAGAAAGCCACGGCUAACUACGUG
RNAcentral lists this ribosomal RNA (497 nucleotides) under uncultured bacterium. RNAcentral describes it as "partial 16S ribosomal RNA". It matches the Rfam family "Bacterial small subunit ribosomal RNA", at positions 28 to 507 of the family's 1533-position model. The record is from RNAcentral.